Molecule: ribosomal RNA, 193 nt
Filed under: uncultured Acaulospora
Lineage: Eukaryota; Fungi; Glomeromycota; Glomeromycetes; Diversisporales; Acaulosporaceae
Description: partial small subunit ribosomal RNA
Source: RNAcentral
GGAUUUGUCAGUUGGUCGGGCUUCACUGUUCGUAUUGCUUGAUGGAUUCAUACCUGAAUAACCAGCAUGCUAUUAAGUUAGUGCGUUGGGGAAGCAGAUCUAUUACCUUGAAAAACUUAGUGCUUAAAGAUUAGUAUGGAAUAAUAAAAUAGGACGGCAUGGUUCUAUUUUGUUGGUUUCUAGGAUCACCGUA